AUCCAUCUGGCGAGUCCCAAAUAGGAUGAAAUGUGUGUUCUGGAU
This is a non-coding RNA of Schistosoma curassoni, 45 nucleotides long. Lineage: Eukaryota; Metazoa; Platyhelminthes; Trematoda; Strigeidida; Schistosomatidae. The record is from Rfam.